RNAcentral lists this unclassified non-coding RNA (90 nucleotides) under Pseudomonas corrugata. Lineage: Bacteria; Pseudomonadati; Pseudomonadota; Gammaproteobacteria; Pseudomonadales; Pseudomonadaceae. The record is from RNAcentral.
UGUGGGAGCGAGCCUGCUCGCGAUGGCGGCGGUUCAGCCAGCGUUGAUGUUGACUGACAUACCGCUAUCGCGAGCAGGCUCGCUCCCACA